CAGGUGUGAGGAUAAAGAAUUCGUCGUUGAUUCAACUUCCCAUAUCAGUGAGUGAAAAAUCUCGAAGCAAUACAGAUACAGAUGAGAUGCUUGGCAUUUGAACAAAAGAAGUUGAUUUUUACUUUCUAAUUUGUCACUUGUUUUCUUGCUUUACACAGACACCAAAGAGACAUCUCAGCUCUAUAAAGUCAGCUCUGAAAACACAAAGGUUAAAAACUACGAUUUGUGGUUUAAGAUACAAGAAUGUUUUCUCUUCAGAUUGACUGGGAAGACUUUCUCUUCAGACGGACAGAACUUAUAAAACCUCCAUCUCAAAUGUCAGACCACCUGGGAUAUGCAGCUGUCAGGCUGAAAGGGGAGCUGCCUGGGACUGGCCCCGGCCUGCUCAUCAAGGAGAUACUGUCACUAGCCAGCAGGCAAUACUAGGUGCACAGGGGUGACAGCACCACCAGACGCCAGAGACAUGCCUGGCUCAGGAUUUGAGACUUUAAGGAAAAAAAUAAAGAACUGAGCUGAAACUAUGGAGAUCUCUGC
RNAcentral lists this long non-coding RNA (534 nucleotides) under Felis catus (domestic cat). RNAcentral describes it as "lncRNA (ENSFCAG00000047856.1)". The record is from RNAcentral. Lineage: Eukaryota; Metazoa; Chordata; Mammalia; Carnivora; Felidae.